Molecule: ribosomal RNA, 253 nt
Filed under: uncultured bacterium
Lineage: Bacteria
Description: partial 16S ribosomal RNA
Rfam family: Bacterial small subunit ribosomal RNA
Source: RNAcentral
GACGGAGGGUGCUAGCGUUGUUCGGAUUUACUGGGCGUAAAAGGCGCGUAGGCGGCCUUCUCAGUCGGGUGUGAAAGCCCGGGGCUCAACCCCGGAACGGCUCUCGAGACUGCAAGGCUCGAGUGCGGAAGAGGCAACUGGAAUUCCCAGUGUAGCGGUGAAAUGCGUAGAUAUUGGGAAGAACACCUGAGGCGAAGGCGGGUUGCUGGGCCGAUACUGACGCUGAGGAGCGAAAGCGUGGGGAGCGAACAGG